Long non-coding RNA from Pipistrellus kuhlii (Kuhl's pipistrelle), 157 nucleotides. RefSeq lists it as uncharacterized. The record is from RefSeq and is a predicted model, not a curated record. The transcript is spliced from 3 exons. Lineage: Eukaryota; Metazoa; Chordata; Mammalia; Chiroptera; Vespertilionidae.
AAAGUAAAGUAGAAUCAAAUCAAAGCAGCAAGUGGGAAAGUGAGACACCGAACUCCUGGAUCCAGCUGUGCCUGAAGCAUCAGCUGUCGACUUUGUACCUCGUGAGCCAAGAAUGAUUGUAUCCCACCUCCUUACCCUGAUCUGGCGCGGCCCCUGC